CCUACGGGCGGCAGCAGUGGGGAAUCUUCCGCAAUGGGCGAAAGCCUGACGGAGCAACGCCGCGUGAGUGAAGAAGGUCUUCGGAUCGUAAAGCUCUGUUGCCGGGGACGAAUGUAGGCAGUGCAAACAGCAUUGUGUAAUGACGGUACCCGGCGAGGAAGCCACGGCUAACUACGUGCCAGCAGCCGCGGUAAUACGUAGGUGGCGAGCGUUGUCCGGAAUUAUUGGGCGUAAAGGGAGCGCAGGCGGGCGAGUAAGUCUUUCUUAAAAGUGCGGGGCUCAACCCCGUGAGGGGAGAGAAACUACUCAUCUUGAGUGCAGGAGAGGAAAGCGGAAUUCCUAGUGUAGCGGUGAAAUGCGUAGAUAUUAGGAAGAACACCAGUGGCGAAGGCGGCUUUCUGGAC
This 404-nucleotide ribosomal RNA is filed under the name uncultured Mitsuokella sp. RNAcentral describes it as "bacterial SSU rRNA". It matches the Rfam family "Bacterial small subunit ribosomal RNA", at positions 338 to 734 of the family's 1533-position model. Lineage: Bacteria; Bacillati; Bacillota; Negativicutes; Selenomonadales; Selenomonadaceae. The record is from RNAcentral.